GGUCUCAUGGUGUAACGGUUAGCACUCUGGACCCUGAAUCCAGCAAUCCGAGUUCAAAUUUCGGUGAGAUCU
Non-coding RNA from Ixodes scapularis (black-legged tick), 72 nucleotides. The record is from Rfam. NCBI's taxonomy places the organism in Eukaryota, Metazoa, Arthropoda, Arachnida, Ixodida, Ixodidae.